AUGUCUCGGACACUCCACUCUGGGUCCUCGGCCAUGUCUCCAGCUCUUUUGAAAAGAUUGGGGGGAAAAGGGGGCUCCGCGGGAGAGAGGAGAGUAGAGGAGAGUGAGAGGGAUCAGGGAAGAGGCUGUGAGAGAAAACACUCAGAGUGGACCACAGAAAGACGAAGAAGAAGAAGAGGAGGAAGAAGAAGCGGCAGCCAGCAGAAGAGGAGCAGCUUUACGCAUGGAUAAAAACCAACCUCUGAUCAGGGACUGAGCAACAUGGCGGCCUGGCUUUGGGUGACAGCGGGACAUGAUGGUGUGGUGUACGGAACGACGCCGGGACGAGAUGUGAUUUAUGGAGAGUGUGAUACCACUGUGAU
This 362-nucleotide long non-coding RNA is filed under the name Gouania willdenowi (blunt-snouted clingfish). RNAcentral describes it as "lncRNA (ENSGWIG00000026712.1)". Lineage: Eukaryota; Metazoa; Chordata; Actinopteri; Blenniiformes; Gobiesocidae. The record is from RNAcentral.